RNAcentral lists this ribosomal RNA (207 nucleotides) under uncultured bacterium. RNAcentral describes it as "partial 16S ribosomal RNA". It matches the Rfam family "Bacterial small subunit ribosomal RNA", at positions 567 to 774 of the family's 1533-position model. The record is from RNAcentral.
ACGCGUAGGCCGUUGAGUUAGUUAAUUGUGAAAUCCCAAAGCUUAACUUGGAACUGCAAUUAAAACUGCUCGACUAGAGUUUGAUAGAGGAAAGCGGAAUACAUAGUGUAGAGGUGAAAUUCGUAGAUAUUAUGUAGAACACCAGUUGCGAAGGCGGCUUUCUGGAUCAACACUGACGCUGAGGCGCGAAAGUAUGGGUAGCAAAGA